RNAcentral lists this ribosomal RNA (468 nucleotides) under uncultured bacterium. RNAcentral's name for it is "partial 16S ribosomal RNA". It matches the Rfam family "Bacterial small subunit ribosomal RNA", at positions 28 to 507 of the family's 1533-position model. The record is from RNAcentral.
GACGAACGCUGGCGGCGUGCUUAACACAUGCAAGUCGAACGGAAAGGCCCUGCUUUUGUGGGGUGCUCGAGUGGCGAACGGGUGAGUAACACGUGAGUAACCUGCCCUUGACUCUGGGAUAACUUCAGGAAACUGGGGCUAAUACCGGAUAGGAGCUCCUGCUGCAUGGUGGGGGUUGGAAAGUUUCGGCGGUUGGGGAUGGACUCGCGGCUUAUCAGCUUGUUGGUGGGGUAGUGGCUUACCAAGGCUUUGACGGGUAGCCGGCCUGAGAGGGUGACCGGCCACAUUGGGACUGCAAUCAGGCCCAGACUCCUACGGAGGGCAGCAAUGGGGAAUUUUACGCAAUGGGCGGGAGCCUGAUGCAGCAACGCCGCGUGCGGGAUGACGGCCUUCCGGUUGUAAACCGCUUCCGCCUGUGACGAAGCGUGAGUGACGGUACUGGGUAAAGAAGCACCGGCUAACUACGUG